Sphaerodactylus townsendi is the source of this 163-nucleotide long non-coding RNA. RefSeq lists it as uncharacterized. The transcript has 3 exons. Lineage: Eukaryota; Metazoa; Chordata; Lepidosauria; Squamata; Sphaerodactylidae. The record is from RefSeq and is a predicted model, not a curated record.
UUAUUUAUUUAUUUAAUUAAUUAAUUUGUAUACCGCCCGAUCCCCGAAGGGCUCCGGGCGGUCGACAACAUUCACUAAAACAUCAACAGGAGAGGUCAUACAAAUAUAAACACAUAGGCUCCAUCCCAUAAAUAGCUUGAGAUUCAUUAAACACCAAAAAACC